CACUGUCCGUGGCCCAGGCGUCAGGUUGCCAGGAGACACCUCCCUCCUGGGAUUUACCUCCCAGGCGGCUGUGUUUCCCGACCCCUCACUUCUGAGGGCCUGAGCAGGCUGAGAGCUGCUCAGAUCCUCUGCGUCAGGGUCUCAGCGAGCAGUGGCCGGGUGCCGGCCGCACCCAGGAACAUUGGCAACGCCGUGCCACUGCCACUGCCGCUGCCCAGAGACUGCGGCUGGGUGCCAGCCUGCGCCCCAAAACGUUCACGCGAUGGUGUAGCAGCAGCGUUUCGAGGAUUGUGGACAAUCACCACACACUUCUGGUACCGGGCUUCCCCCUUAACGACCUUGUUCCAGCACCAGCGAAUGUGGCUGUUCUCCGGGGUCUGCUGGGACCUCUGGGGUCGGCUGGGGUGGCCACACAGACUCUACCUCGUGUCCUCGCAGCAGGGGAACCGCUUUUCUCCGUGUGGUUCCAGACACCCCUCCUCCACACCCCCAGUCUUCAUUCACUCUGCUCUCGGGGAUUCGCCCUUCCGACCAGAGCACCGCCAGCUUUGUCUGCUUAGUUACUGGACUGUCCCUUGGUGAGAAUACGCAGGAAGAGAGGAGCGACUGAGUUCUAGACCAUGCAACCACAGGUGAGUAGGACUUACUCUUCCUUCUCAUG
This 661-nucleotide long non-coding RNA is filed under the name Felis catus (domestic cat). Its description in RNAcentral is "lncRNA (ENSFCAG00000044988.2)". The record is from RNAcentral. Lineage: Eukaryota; Metazoa; Chordata; Mammalia; Carnivora; Felidae.